UUUGUCACACGCAUGUAGUUUACAUGCACCUGACUACUCUCAAGCUUUCCACCUAGAUGUUGAUGAAAAGGACGGCAUUGUAAAUGCAAUUUUUGCAGGCUCUCAGAACACUUGGUUUGAGGCCUGCAUUCUUCAACUUCUUCUGUGAUGCAAAUCAUGGCCUGAUAAGCAUCCUGGGAUAGGCUAUCAGCAAUUGCAAUUUCACAACCAGGCCACUCAGUGAAUGCAUCUGUUUUUUUCCACAUCUGGGUUUACAGUGAAGAUGAUGAACCAGGACCUGCCAGGACCAGCCAGCCAGAGGGGCGGAAGAGAGGGAGACAAUCUGCUGCUGCACAAUGCAGUGAAGAUGAUGAACCAGGACCAGCCAGCCAGAGGGGAGGAAGAGAGGGAGACAAUCUGCUGCUGCUGCUGAACAAUGCAGUGAACCCGGACCUGCCGGUGAGGAGGACAGGUGGCAUAACAGAGAGGAAGAGGAUGUCCAGCCUGUCCCUCGUCGGUUCAUGCCAGCUAGAAAACCCGGCCCAGCAUUUGACACCACCCAGUCUUGGUCCCCACUUGGCCUUUUUCAACUGUUUUUUUCUGCUGCAGUUGUCAGAAAAAUUGUUCAAAACACAAACGCCAAUGCAGCCAGAAGACAAGCUGCUGGGGUGGUUUUCAAGUGGACCAUCCUGACAGUGAAGGACUUCUAUACAUUUUUGGCCAUUGUUAUUUUCACUGGCCUUGUGACAGUCCAUCACAGGUCAGAUUACUGGAGGAAACAAUGGCCAUAUAACUUCUCCUUGCCCAGGGAAAAGAUGACACGGGACCGGUUUGAGGCAAUUCUCUGGUCUCUUCAUCUCAGCAGCCCAGCAGAAGAUGAAGAAAAUGAGAAGAAGAGGAACUCACCGGCCUAUGACAGACUUUUCAAAAUCAAACCUUUGUACACUGAGAUGGUGGAUGCCUGCAAAGUGUACUUCCAGCCCUACCAGCAUGUGUCGAUUGAUGAGCGGAUGGUCGCCUCCAAAGCGCACAUCAGCCUGAAGCAGUACAUAAAGGAUAAACCGACAA
Monopterus albus (swamp eel) is the source of this 1047-nucleotide long non-coding RNA. RefSeq lists it as uncharacterized. The transcript has 3 exons. NCBI's taxonomy places the organism in Eukaryota, Metazoa, Chordata, Actinopteri, Synbranchiformes, Synbranchidae. The record is from RefSeq and is a predicted model, not a curated record.